CCCUUAGAUGUUCGGGGCCGCACGCGCGCUACACUGGAGGAAUCAGCACGUCUUUCUCCUUGUCCGAAAGGACUGGGUAACCCGCUGAACCUCCUUCGUGCUAGGGAUUGGGGCUUGUAAUUCUUCCCCAUGAACGAGGAAUUCCCAGUAAGCGCGAGUCAUAAGCUCGCGUUGAUUACGUCCCUGCCCUUUGUACACACCGCCCGUCGCUACUACCGAUUGGAUGGUUUAGUGAGAUCCUCGGAUUGGUCCCGGCGCGGCCUCUGGUCGUGCCGGAGUGCCGAAAAGAAUGUCGAACUUGAUCAUCUAGAGGAAGUAAAAGUCGUAACA
Molecule: ribosomal RNA, 330 nt
Filed under: uncultured eukaryote
Lineage: Eukaryota
Description: partial 18S ribosomal RNA
Rfam family: Eukaryotic small subunit ribosomal RNA
Source: RNAcentral